GGAGAGAUGGCAGAGCGGUCUAAUGCGGCGGUCUUGAAAACCGUUGACUGUCACAGGUCCGGGGGUUCGAAUCCCUCUCUCUCCG
This 85-nucleotide transfer RNA is filed under the name Chitinophagaceae bacterium. Its description in RNAcentral is "tRNA-Ser". It matches the Rfam family "tRNA". From Rfam's summary of the family: Transfer RNA (tRNA) molecules are approximately 80 nucleotides in length. Their secondary structure includes four short double-helical elements and three loops (D, anti-codon, and T loops). Lineage: Bacteria; Pseudomonadati; Bacteroidota; Chitinophagia; Chitinophagales; Chitinophagaceae. The record is from RNAcentral. RNAcentral also lists the same sequence under 9 other names.